UACGUAGGGUGCAAGCGUUAAUCGGAAUUACUGGGCGUAAAGCGUGCGCAGGCGGUUCGCUAAGACAGAUGUGAAAUCCCCGGGCUUAACCUGGGAACUGCAUUUGUGACUGGCGGGCUAGAGUAUGGCAGAGGGGGGUAGAAUUCCACGUGUAGCAGUGAAAUGCUUAGAGAUGUGGAGGAAUACCGAUGGCGAAGGCAGCCCCCUGGGCCAAUACUGACGCUCAUGCACGAAAGCGUGGGGAGCAAACAGG
Molecule: ribosomal RNA, 253 nt
Filed under: uncultured bacterium
Lineage: Bacteria
Description: partial 16S ribosomal RNA
Rfam family: Bacterial small subunit ribosomal RNA
Source: RNAcentral